AUUGAACGCUGGCGGCAUGCCUUACACAUGCAAGUCGAACGGCAGCGGGGACUUCGGUCCGCCGGCGAGUGGCGAACGGGUGAGUAAAGCAUCGGAACGUGCCCUGAAGUGGGGGAUAACGUAGCGAAAGUUACGCUAAUACCGCAUAUUCUGUGAGCAGGAAAGCAGGGGAUCUUCGGACCUUGUGCUUUAGGAGCGGCCGAUGUCGGAUUAGCUAGUUGGUGAGGUAAAGGCUCACCAAGGCGACGAUCCGUAGCGGGUCUGAGAGGAUGAUCCGCCACACUGGGACUGAGACACGGCCCAGACUCCUACGGGAGGCAGCAGUGGGGAAUAUUGGACAAUGGGCGCAAGCCUGAUCCAGCCAUGCCGCGUGUAGUGAAGAAGGCCUUUUGGUUGUAAAGCACUUUAAGCGAGGAGGAGGCUACUUGGAUU
RNAcentral lists this ribosomal RNA (432 nucleotides) under uncultured bacterium. RNAcentral's name for it is "bacterial SSU rRNA". It matches the Rfam family "Bacterial small subunit ribosomal RNA", at positions 30 to 461 of the family's 1533-position model. The record is from RNAcentral.